RNAcentral lists this unclassified non-coding RNA (335 nucleotides) under Bombus terrestris (buff-tailed bumblebee). Its description in RNAcentral is "misc RNA ENSBTSG00005026221.1". Lineage: Eukaryota; Metazoa; Arthropoda; Insecta; Hymenoptera; Apidae. The record is from RNAcentral.
UUUGUGAUCGAUAAGAUACGUUUUAUACGAAAUUGAACGGAUAAAACGGAACAUUUGCAUGUGUACGCGGGCACACGUUAUAUAAAGCACAACAGGCGCGUGGCGAUCACGAGUGAAAUCGAACUAAAUGGUAAAGUGGAAAUCAAGGUUCAAUAACUCCGUUAUUCGCGGUGUUAAUGGCCGAGCUAAUGCGCAACCCCGGACCAAACGGACGUGUUCCAUGCGAAAACGAUUCACGAGCUACAAUUCUUGUUAUAUUUGUUCUACUUCCCUGCUGAUUUGCAUUGGGGUUGAAUUUUGGCACGAUCGAGAUCGAGGCAUGGCGUUGCUCGACC